AUUACACAUUACCGUGGUGUUGCGUUUUAUCUAAUAGAUCGACCGGUUAUCCGACGGAUGUAUAUUAUCGAUUCCGGGCAGAGUCAGGAAUGGAUACGGUUUUACGAUAAAAUGUGUGUUUGUUUGUUUACGUCUGCAAGCGACUUUGCUGCGUUAUAAAAAAGUACGGGAAAAACUGACAAAUAUCUACGACGGCGAAACGAUUCGAUUAGUUUAAAUUUGUUUCUAUUUUUGUUUUAAAUCAUACGCA
Non-coding RNA from Cinara cedri, 250 nucleotides. The record is from the annotation of a GenBank genome assembly. Lineage: Eukaryota; Metazoa; Arthropoda; Insecta; Hemiptera; Aphididae.